CAAGUAUACUGAUCACUUGUUCCUCUGUAUAGUAUAUGUUACCUUUCUGUUCACUACUUAUAAAAUAUGCCGUAUGGCAUCUCAACGUAAUAAAUUUAUAUCGUAUGCUACCAUAUUUAUGUUGAAAAGCAUUGUGGAAUAAUUCUUUUGGAAGAUUUUUCAAUUUCACAGGGGGUGAUGGUUUACAGGGCUCAAAAAUCAAAAGUUUUGAUAGAAUUAUUUUCAACAAAGGUUCGUGAUUUAAAAUUAUCCAGAGUAAAAGUUUUUAAGAAUCCUCAUAUGGUUAAUACCACUACAUGAGUAAGCAGCUUCAUAGUCAUUCUGAAGGCCCACUUUCAUUGCGAACAGAGUUUUUGUCAAUUUAACAGACAAUUCUUCAGUUGGAAGUGUGGAUGAACCGGCAAUGUACCGAUGUUUAAGUGGACAUUUGUGACACUAAGGUAUCCAAUCCAAACAAGGCAAGUCCUCCGAAUGUAUUCAUUGAAGCCAUUUAGAAUGAAUGAUUCGCCAAAAUCGCAUCUUUCUCACAUGAUAUGUUUUUGCAUGUUGAAUGCCUGAAUGCACAUUUAUCACUUAUUCUUUUACAAGACAUUCGUAGUAGUACGAUUUACAUACAAAGACUUCGAUGAAACUGUUCGGAGGAAAAACAACAUACUUAUCGUGAAGAGACUAUAUGCAUUACUUCUCGAUUAACCCAGGGUCUGGAGUAAUUUCCAAAUGGAAUCCGUAAUCAUCUUGAAGCUAUGUUUCUAAUUGACGUGAUAAGGUUCUCUAAACCUAGGGCCAUGCGUUAUCAUCUUUCAGAGAUUCUCGUGAUAAAUCAUGUUGAGAUCCCCAGUAAUAACAUGGCCCGAUAAGCUGUAAAUAUAAGGCGCGUCGGAACAGUCGCAUGUCAGAUAAAAGAGGGACGAAAGAUGCCCAAGUUACGGUCAAACUCAUAAAUCUAAUACAAACUGACAACGCCAUGGCUACAAACAAAAAUGACAACAUAGAAAACUAAAGAAUAAACAACUCGAACCCCCCCCCCCCCAAAAAAAAAAUAAAUAAAAAUAAAAUAAAAACUAGGGGUGAUCUCGGGUGCUCCGGAAGGGUAAGCAGAUCCUACUCCACAUGUGGCACCCGUCGUGUUGCUUAUGUGAUAACAAAUCCGGUAAAGUCUAAUUCGGUAGGUGACAUUCAUGAAAGGG
RNAcentral lists this long non-coding RNA (1187 nucleotides) under Mytilus galloprovincialis (Mediterranean mussel). The record is from RNAcentral. Lineage: Eukaryota; Metazoa; Mollusca; Bivalvia; Mytilida; Mytilidae.